GUUGUUCUCCUAUCUUUUCGGGGUAAGGUAAUAAUUGUGUAUGUACAGCUUCACACGUAUACACAUGUGUAUCAUAUUUAAAGCAUUAAAACAAAACUUCUAAAGUGUAAACAAUGAAUGAAAAAAUAAUUUGAUCAUUUCUAUUUUUCAAUAUCUUUGAUUAAAAAUAUUGAAAAAUGCUCCCCACAAAAACAUUUUCAUUUUU
Molecule: long non-coding RNA, 205 nt
Filed under: Mytilus galloprovincialis (Mediterranean mussel)
Lineage: Eukaryota; Metazoa; Mollusca; Bivalvia; Mytilida; Mytilidae
Source: RNAcentral